This is a long non-coding RNA of Scophthalmus maximus (turbot), 1075 nucleotides long. RefSeq lists it as uncharacterized. NCBI's taxonomy places the organism in Eukaryota, Metazoa, Chordata, Actinopteri, Pleuronectiformes, Scophthalmidae. The transcript is spliced from 4 exons. The record is from RefSeq and is a predicted model, not a curated record.
UAACAACACUUUAAUGCUCUCUUUAAUACUCUGUUGGACUGACAGCUGACUGGAUGCUACGGUGACUCACUAUCACCUUCAGAGGUACAAAGUGAUAUGACGAGACGGGAUGGACUGGGGCUAGAAAAGUGCUGGACGCGUUCCCAGAGUUACGGUAGGCUGAGGCUGUGAUGACUUCACCCCAAGACGACCUAAUUGUGGAACUGUCAUGACAUUACAGCUAACCCCCACCGCCUCAAAUGAAGGGACAGCAGCAGCACUCACAAUCAGCAGUAGAAUGCGGUGACUGUGUACGGUUGAAAGACGGCAGCAAAUCAAGAUGGAUGCCAAGAGGAAUGACAACACGCAUGCUUCGGAGACAGCUGUUAACCUUCCAGGUCUGAAUGAGAAGAAGGUGGGGGGCCGAGAACACGCUCUCGUCUCAGAGGAAACACCAAAACAGCGUAAUGGCUUACAUGUUGCUAAUAAUGCAGCAAACAUCGCAUGAUGAAGUGAUUUGGCGUGUUUCAUUCACUGCCACAUUACACACAGGCCAAAGUUAAGAACAUCUAUGUUAAGUAGCAGUCAACGGGGGGAAGCCCGGUUCGCUUUCUCCUGAGCUGCCCUCUUCCUCUGCCCCGCUUUACCCAACAAGUGCUUUGAUGUUAAAUAAAUCGAUAAAUAAUGAAUAGAUGUUGAGUAAAGCUGAUAGUUAUACAGUAGUCUGCUCGUGUGUUGAGAGUUAAAUAUGGGAAUAGAACAAAAAUCGCAUCCACAUCUGCCGUCUUUCGUAGCUUCUCAUAUUAUUCUUUUGUGAAAACGAUGGUAUUUCUAAUUUCCAUGAGCAAAAACAGUAAAUUCUUUAUCCCACUACAAUGAUAUAUUGUUAAAUGUGAAAUGGAAACAUAUAUAAAACAUCUACACGGUGCAGUUUUGUCUUUUUGCAUUCAUUCUUCUGCUUCUUUUAUUUCCCCCUGUCUUCUUAUCGGCCCCUUCAUCUGUGAUUACUCCCCCUUUGUUCUCGCUCACUCGUCUCCUUUUCCUUCCUUCCAUUCUUCCAUCCCCCUCUCUUUCUGUCCAUCUGUAUAUGUUGCUC